Non-coding RNA from Ciona intestinalis (vase tunicate), 1295 nucleotides. NCBI's taxonomy places the organism in Eukaryota, Metazoa, Chordata, Ascidiacea, Phlebobranchia, Cionidae. The record is from RefSeq and is a predicted model, not a curated record.
GUACUGCUGUAGGAGGAUAUAAUAGAAUAUUGUAAAUAUAUUCAUCUGUUUUUAAACUGGAGAAUGGAAAUAAAUCCUUGAAUAAACUACAGUGAAUCUGAACGACCGAUGCCACGGUCCAUGAUUUCUGCUCCAUGUGUGAGGAUCACCAUUUUGUGAGGCGUUGUAUGAGGGUUGUCCUUCCACUAUUUCAACAUGGACUGUUUGAAACUGAUUCUCUGGAGGUGUAUCUCGACACUCAGAAUAAGAUGGACAGAUCAGCAUUACAAUGUCUGCUGUAAACUUCUCUGCAGUUGUGCUGCAAGAAACUGGGAUAAAAUUAAAUCUUCCCAAAUGCCUAACGAACUUCAGGGGUGGCUGUCGUUGCCAAGAGUUCACCAAUUUUACACAAAAUUCCCGACCUAGUGUGGUAUAUCCCUGACCCAAAUAUCAUUACCUUAUUUGUGCAAUGCUUGGGGCAAUCCACAGUGUAAACUUUUGCUGAUUCUUGCAUAUCAAGGAGCUUACAUGCGCUAACCUCUGCAAAGCUGCAGCACAAACUUCCGAAUACCCAGUAUAAUGGUUGGUCCCAAACACCCUGUUAAACCUCCUUACACAAUUUGCUGGACAAAUCACAUUCUGUUUGAAAGUCUUGAUGUCUAACCCAAUUGUUCUGCAAGUUACUUGAACCUGAACGACCGAUGCCACGGUCCAUGAUUUCUGCUCCAUGUGUGAGGAUCACCAUUUUGUGAGGCGUUGUAUGAGGGUUGUCCUUCCACUAUUUCAACAUGGACUGUUUGAAACUGAUUCUCUGGAGGUGUAUCUCGACACUCAGAAUAAGAUGGACAGAUCAGCAUUACAAUGUCUGCUGUAAACUUCUCUGCAGUUGUGCUGCAAGAAACUGGGAUAAAAUAUUCCCGACCUAGUGUGGUAUAUCCCUGACCCAAAUAUCAUUACCUUAUCUGUGCAAUGCUUGGGGCAAUCCACAGUGUAAACUUUUGCUGAUUCUUGCAUAUCAAGGAGCUUACAUGCGCUAACCUCUGCAAAGCUGCAGCACAAACUUCUGAAUACCCAGUAUAAUGGUUGGUCCCAAACACCCUGUUAAACCUCCUUACACAGUUUGCCGGACAAAUCACAUUUUGUUUGAAAGUCUUGAUGUCCACUCCAAGUGUCUUGCAAGUUACUGUAACCAAAUUUGUUUUUACAUAUAGGUAUGGACACUUAGUAAUUGUAAGGGAAGUUAUACUUGUUUUUUAUAAUAUGUUAUUGAAUAUAAGGAACCAAAUUAUAUAUGUUAUUGAAAAUAAGGAACCAAA